CCUACGGGAGGCAGCAGUGAGGAAUAUUGGUCAAUGGGAGCGAUCCUGAACCAGCCAAGUAGCGUGCAGGAUGACUGCCCUACGAGUUGUAAACUGCUUUUGUAAAGGAGUAAAGUGCUCCACGUGUGCCUUUUUGUAUGUACUUUAUGAAUAAGGAUCGGCUAACUCCGUGCCAGCAGCCGCGGUAAUACGGAGGAUCCGAGCGUUAUCCGGAUUUAUUGGGUUUAAAGGGAGCGUAGAUGGGUUUUUAAGUCAGUGGUGAAAGUUUGCUGCUCAACCGUAAAAUUGCAAUUGAUACUGGAAGCCUUGAGUACAGAUGAGGCAGGCGGAAUGUGUGGUGUAGCGGUGAAAUGCUUAGAUAUUACGAAGAACACCGAUUGCGAAGGCAGCCUACUAAACCGGCACUGACACUGAUGCUCGAAAGCGUGGGGAUCAAACAGGAUUAGAUACCCUGGUAGUC
RNAcentral lists this ribosomal RNA (460 nucleotides) under uncultured bacterium. Its description in RNAcentral is "partial 16S ribosomal RNA". It matches the Rfam family "Bacterial small subunit ribosomal RNA", at positions 338 to 795 of the family's 1533-position model. The record is from RNAcentral.